GACGAACGCUGGCGGCGUGCUUAACACAUGCAAGUCGAACGGAAAGGCCCUGCUCUUGUGGGGUGCUCGAGUGGCGAACGGGUGAGUAACACGUGAGUAACCUGCCCUUGACUUUGGGAUAACUUCAGGAAACUGGGGCUAAUAUCGGAUAGGAGCUCUUGCUGCAUGGUGGGGGUUGGAAAGUUUCGGCGGUUGGGGAUGGACUCGCGGGUUAUCAGCUUGUUGGUGGGGUAGUGGCUUACCAAGGCUUUGACGGGUAGCCGGCCUGAGAGGGUGACCGGCCACAUUAGGACUACGAUACGGCCCAGACUCCUACGGGAGGCAGCGGUGGGGAAUCUGACGCAAUAGGCGGAAGCCUGAUGCAGCAACGCCGCGUGCGGGAUGCCGGCCUUCGGGUUGUAAACCGCUUUCGCCUGUGAUGAAGCGUGAGUGACGGUAAUGGGUAAAGAAGCACCGGCUAACUACGUG
This 468-nucleotide ribosomal RNA is filed under the name uncultured bacterium. RNAcentral's name for it is "partial 16S ribosomal RNA". It matches the Rfam family "Bacterial small subunit ribosomal RNA", at positions 28 to 507 of the family's 1533-position model. The record is from RNAcentral.